RNAcentral lists this transfer RNA (86 nucleotides) under Nocardia brasiliensis. RNAcentral's name for it is "tRNA-Tyr". It matches the Rfam family "tRNA". Rfam says of the family: Transfer RNA (tRNA) molecules are approximately 80 nucleotides in length. Their secondary structure includes four short double-helical elements and three loops (D, anti-codon, and T loops). The record is from RNAcentral. Lineage: Bacteria; Bacillati; Actinomycetota; Actinomycetes; Mycobacteriales; Nocardiaceae. RNAcentral also lists the same sequence under 3 other names.
GGGGCGGCGUCGACGUUGGAGAGUCGGGCUCGGCUGUAAACCGAGUGCCACGCGCUGAGUGGGUUCGAAUCCCUCCCGCCCCACGA